GGACGAACGCUGGCGGCGUGCUUAACACAUGCAAGUCGAGCGGUAAGGCCCUUUCGGGGGUACGACGAGCGGCGAACGGGUGAGUAACAACGUGGGUGACCUGCCCUCAGCUCUGGGAUAAGCCUGGGAAACCGGGUCUAAUACUGGAUAUGACUCCAUGACGCAUGUUGUGGGGUGGAAAGCCUUGUGCGGCUGAGGAUGGGCCCGCGGCCUAUCAGCUUGUUGGUGGGGUGAUGGCCUACCAAGGCGACGACGGGUAGCCGGCCUGAGAGGGCGACCGGCCACACUGGGACUGAGACACGGCCCAGACUCCUACGGGAGGCAGCAGUGGGGAAUUGUUCGCAAGUGGGCGCAAGCCUGACGACGCAACGCCGCGUGGAGGAUGAAGGUCUUCGGAUUGUAAACUCCUG
This 410-nucleotide ribosomal RNA is filed under the name uncultured bacterium. RNAcentral's name for it is "bacterial SSU rRNA". It matches the Rfam family "Bacterial small subunit ribosomal RNA", at positions 27 to 435 of the family's 1533-position model. The record is from RNAcentral.